CUUGCUUCUCUUGAGAGCGGCGGACGGGUGAGUAAUGCCUAGGAAUCUGCCUGGUAGUGGGGGAUAACGUCCGGAAACGGACGCUAAUACCGCAUACGUCCUACGGGAGAAAGCAGGGGACCUUCGGGCCUUGCGCUAUCAGAUGAGCCUAGGUCGGAUUAGCUAGUUGGUGGGGUAAUGGCUCACCAAGGCGACGAUCCGUAACUGGUCUGAGAGGAUGAUCAGUCACACUGGAACUGAGACACGGUCCAGACUCCUACGGGAGGCAGCAGUGGGGAAUAUUGGACAAUGGGCGAAAGCCUGAUCCAGCCAUGCCGCGUGUGUGAAGAAGGUCUUCGGAUUGUAAAGCACUUUAAGUUGGGAGGAAGGGCAGUAAAUUAAUACUUUGCUGUUUUGACGUUACCGACAGAAUAAGCACCGGCUAACUCUGUGCCAGCAGCCGCGGUAAUACAGAGGGUGCAAGCGUUAAUCGGAAUUACUGGGCGUAAAGCGCGCGUAGGUGGUUCGUUAAGUUGGAUGUGAAAUCCCCGGGCUCAACCUGGGAACUGCAUUCAAAACUGACGAGCUAGAGUAUGGUAGAGGGUGGUGGAAUUUCCUGUGUAGCGGUGAAAUGCGUAGAUAUAGGAAGGAACACCAGUGGCGAAGGCGACCACCUGGACUGAUACUGACACUGAGGUGCGAAAGCGUG
This 688-nucleotide ribosomal RNA is filed under the name uncultured bacterium. Its description in RNAcentral is "bacterial SSU rRNA". It matches the Rfam family "Bacterial small subunit ribosomal RNA", at positions 79 to 763 of the family's 1533-position model. The record is from RNAcentral.